UACGAAGGGAGCUAGCGUUGUUCGGAAUCACUGGGCGUAAAGGGUGCGUAGGCCGCACGGUAAGUCAGAGGUGAAAUCCCGGAGCUCAACUUCGGAAUUGCCUCCGAUACUGCCGUGCUUGAGGACUGGAGAGGAGAUUGGAAUUCACAGUGGAGCAGUGAAAUGCGUAGAUAUUGUGAGGAACACUAGUGGCGAAGGCGAAUCUCUGGACAGUUCCUGACGCUGAGGCACGAAGGCCAGGGGAGCAAACGGG
This 253-nucleotide ribosomal RNA is filed under the name uncultured bacterium. Its description in RNAcentral is "partial 16S ribosomal RNA". It matches the Rfam family "Bacterial small subunit ribosomal RNA", at positions 524 to 776 of the family's 1533-position model. The record is from RNAcentral.